UCUUUUGGUCUCUUAACUUAUUUUUUGGUUUCGUUUUGGUCCCUUAACUAUUAAAAGUUUCGUUUUGGUCCCUUAACUUACUUUUUGGUUUCGUUUUGGUCCCUUAACUAUUAAAAGUUUCGUUUUGGUCUUUUAACUUACUUUUUGGUUUCGUUUUGGUCCCUUAACUCUUCCUUCGUCAACCACUUUGGUCCUUUAUGUUAGGAUGAAUGUAUUAGAGUUAAGGGACUAAAAUGAAACCAAAAAAUAAG
RNAcentral lists this long non-coding RNA (251 nucleotides) under Medicago truncatula (barrel medic). RNAcentral describes it as "long non-coding RNA (MTRU_LNC003080)". Lineage: Eukaryota; Viridiplantae; Streptophyta; Magnoliopsida; Fabales; Fabaceae. The record is from RNAcentral.